Molecule: long non-coding RNA, 2569 nt
Filed under: Triticum aestivum (bread wheat)
Lineage: Eukaryota; Viridiplantae; Streptophyta; Magnoliopsida; Poales; Poaceae
Description: long non-coding RNA (TAES_LNC021803)
Source: RNAcentral
UAUGUUUCUACAUUCUGGUUCCAAAAUGGUACAAGGAUAUGACUUCUGCACACAAGAAAUGUUUCUACAAGUUGAAAUUAUUUCAAUUCUAUUCUGCCCAUCUCUAGAAUCAGUGCACAAGAAAACAAAGGAUGGAGGACUGAUGUCCAACAUAAAUAAAUCAUCCAAAGAAACCAGUCAUCAUACACCAACUCUGCCAGAAACGACACCCGGUACACAAUUGAGCCCUGAAUCAAAAGAUCACAAUCUUUCGACAAAAACAGCGACACCGAGUACAGAAUAUAACAUUGAAUACAAACUGAUCUCCAAGUUCAUUUUUUUAUUUAUUUUUACUAUACAAGCAAAUCCAAGCACUAUGAUCAGUUCAGCGAAACACUCCAGUAGAGGAACAUCAUUUUCUUGCUCGUCUAAUUAAUAGCUACACUCCAUCUUCUAUUCCACCAAAGCAAGCAUCGGGUUGUCUUGAAUCAACAUCUCAUCGAAAUCCCUCUGUACUUUCCCAGGUGCUCUCCCCCUGCCGCGACCAUCAUACAACCCUCUCCCCUUCUGUGUUCUGUAAUGACAAUUGCACAAUCCUCUGGUUCUUUUAGCCCGCUCACACGUAUCCUUCUUCACCACCACGGUCCCACCCAACAAGAUAACAACACGGACCGACCCGGACCCUAGCUCUGUUUAUUAUGCAUGUUCCUUCAGUUUUCUUCUGUGUAGCCAUGUAGUUUCUUCUCUACCCCAUCUGGAGAAAAUACAUUGCGUCAUCCUCCUCCUCACUUCAUACCAUCUCAGCUCCCCAUCGACCUGCUGCACCAUCAUCUUGAAAUGAGCUGGACAUCCCAUGCUUCGCCGUCAACUUUGGGAAAUGGAUCAAUGUAAUUCCAUCUUGUACCAAAGCAAGGGAUCACAUCCCAUGUUUCACCCUGGCCUUCAAAAGAAUGAACCAAUGAGUCUGGACGAUUCAGCUACGAACAUAUCUUUGCCAUACUAUUUAGUAUUCGAUAAUGUCUAGGUAGAGCAAAUUUACAACAUUAAUGGGAGACUUCCAGUUUGGUGGCAAAAUCAGAGGGAAAGACAGACUAAAACAGAACAUAUUCAUGAACUUUACUCUACUUACAAUCCAUCAGAAGAUUAUCAUAGAAAAUAACUCUUCAGUCACGAGUACUUUUCCGGGUCCUGGUUAUGUUUGCUUGACAAUAUGUUGCUAUCCACUUAAAAAUUUAGUGGUAUAGGCAAUCGUUUUAACGGUGACAAGGUCGCAAUCUUUUAGUAAAGCAACUAAAUAAUAAGGAUAAAUACACUAUUGAGGGCACGUCACCAGAGGUCAUAUUCAGCGCCUCCAAAUCAAUGACGUGUGACCUCGUCUCCACAUCUAGCAGCUGUGAAGAUGGUAGGACAGUUCCCCGCCAUUCCUGCAAGAUGAACACCACAAACAAAUGAAAAUAAGCACGAAAUGACCAGAUUCUAAAGAAAGAGCCAAGCAACAGAGAAAAGGGGGCAAAUCAUGGUGGAGCAGCACCAAGUGUGCGCAACGACGACGAAUGGAAGGCGCUCCUAGGCCUGACUGAAAUAAAACGAAGGUGGCCGAAAAUACAGAGUAAUGCCGAACAUACAAAAUUGUGCAGAGAAAAAUGGGCAUUCUGAAACACAACCAUGUAGAACUAUAUAGAAACUUGAGAAUAUUUAGAUGGAUAAACUGCCAAUGAGAAGGCACUGCAACGACCAGCCAUAGCUACUAGGUACUGCAUGUUGAAUGCUAGCAUCACACACUGGCCAGAGGCGCAGGUGCACAGCCUGGCCUCCGCAGGGUGUGUUCGCCGUUGUCUUAUACAGAAAAAAAAACAUAGAUGGGAGUGACUGCUGGUCCAGAUUUUUUUUUUACCCAAUACUCAAGAUAAAUGAAAGUGAUUGUUCUUAUAUUCAAAGAGGCUUACACUGCGAAUUAUAGCCUCUGAACCAUAUUUGCAAUUUUAUAUGCAUAAAUUCCCAGAAUGCAGUUCAUAUUUCAGGAAAUUGUUUUUUCACUCCCCAACCGGCUCAGCGUAGAAUAAGGUUCAGAACUUCUGAUACCGUACCAUAAAUUUCCAGAAUGCAGUUCAUAAAGAAUGCAGUUCAUAUGUCCCUACUGUACUGCAUGUAGUAUUUGUGGAAGCUAGCAAGCAAUAAGGUUCUCAUACGCUUACAAAGAACAAAUUAUUAAGGCAUCUGGAGCAAGUUGACCAAAUGGUGAUUUCUGGGGAGCAGAAAUUAUAUUAUUUUCUAUUAAAUUUCGUUUUUUUUCCUUUGACGAAUCUGUUAUAGUCCUACAGCAUAUAACCAGAGCGGUAAUAGCUAGCCAUAUGAUACCUUGAAAACUAUUAGAUGGAAAUACAUAGAGCAAAUAUGCUAAUCAGAUUUACAAUCAGGGAGUUGUCGCUGCAGCUAAAAAAAUAAACAAAAAUAUGAUAAUCAGGUGCACAAUUUUGGUGCUACACACCUAUACCUGGACCUCCACCGUGCACUACUACUACUCUGUAUCACACUUGACACUUCUACUUGGCAAUACCCUUGACAGUGGUAUACUCUUACCACAACCGGC